Nipponia nippon (crested ibis) is the source of this 496-nucleotide non-coding RNA. NCBI's taxonomy places the organism in Eukaryota, Metazoa, Chordata, Aves, Pelecaniformes, Threskiornithidae. The record is from RefSeq and is a predicted model, not a curated record.
AGUUUAAAAAUGGGACGUCGCUCCUCGGACACAGAAGAAGAGAACAGAAGCAGAAGGAAAAAGAAACACCGCAGGCGUUCGUCUUCGAGUAGCUCCUCAGACAGUAGAACGUACAACCGUAAAAAAUCUGGAAGGAAAUCAAGGUCAAGAUCACGGUCUCGAGAUCUCCAGUCUCGUUCACAUUCUUAUGAGAAAAGACGCAGACACAGAUCAAGCAGUAGUUCUUCAUAUGGUUCUAGAAGAAAACGCAGUCGUAGCCGAUCGAGGGGCAGAGGCAAAUCCUACAGGUCUCAAAGAUCGAGAUCAAAAAGUAGAACAAGAAGAUCACGAUCAAGACCUCGUCAACGUUCUUAUAGUCGAAGUAGUGAAAGAUCCAGUCAUAGGAGAACUCAUAGCGGGUCUCGUGAAAGAGAGCGGCGUAAAGGCAGAGAGAAAGAAAAAAUAAAAGAGAAGGGCAAAGGAAAAGAAAAGGAGAUAUGUGGCACGAAGCAUGGGU